Molecule: ribosomal RNA, 253 nt
Filed under: uncultured bacterium
Lineage: Bacteria
Description: partial 16S ribosomal RNA
Rfam family: Bacterial small subunit ribosomal RNA
Source: RNAcentral
UACGGGGGGGGCAAGCGUUGUUCGGAAUUACUGGGCGCAAAGGGCUCGUAGGCGGCCAACUAAGUCGGAUGUGAAAUCCCCAGGCUUAACCUGGGAACUGCAUCCGAUACUGGAUGGCUUGAAUUCGGGAGAGGGAUGCAGAAUUCCAGGUGUAGCGGUGAAAUGCGUAGAUAUCUGGAGGAAUACCGGUGGCGAAGGCGGCAUCCUGGACCGACAUUGACGCUGAUGAGCGAAAGCUAGGGGAGCAAACGGG